Corvus hawaiiensis (hawaiian crow) is the source of this 1375-nucleotide long non-coding RNA. RefSeq lists it as uncharacterized. Lineage: Eukaryota; Metazoa; Chordata; Aves; Passeriformes; Corvidae. The record is from RefSeq and is a predicted model, not a curated record. The transcript has 2 exons.
UUUCCAAAGAACCUGCAACAGAGAAGCCUCUCAUCAUGUUCAUUCCCAGCACACUGUGACACCGGGAGGGGAAGAGAACAGAUAAAGGUGAAAUUUCCCUGAGAAAAGCAGGGGGUUUAUGGCCCUGCCAAGAGACAGAUGCUAAUUAAUGAGUCCCAGGCGGAGCCGUGACAGUAAGUGGUUCUGUUCGAGCUGGCGGUCUACUGACACGUUCAUCAGCCACACUCUCUAGUAAGUCCUGGGGUUUGUUCCUGUUUUUCUUUCAGCCUUCUAUCCAACUUUCCAGUCCGUCUCUCUGUCCAGUGUGUCUUUUGUGUUCCUUUCUUGUCCGGAGUGCUCCCCAUCCCAUUCCCUUUCACUACGGUACUCUCUCUUGUUUUUGUUUUUCUUUUAAGAAAUAAAUCCUCAAUAUUUAUUUAAUAAAUAUUGGUCAGUCCCUCUUCCUGUUCUCUGUCCUAUUUUUUUUCUCUCUGUCUCACUCCCUGCCCGCAUCUUUAUCUUUCCUUCUUUCUUCCUCUCCUUUUUCCUUUGCCCUGCACCGUGACUGUAUUUCUUUGUCCCUCUCACUGUCCUUUUUGCCUGUACCUGUCUGCAUCUGCUGCUCAGUCCUUCUCCCUCAUUGCAUCCUUCUCUUGAUAACCCUCUGUCCUGCUGCCCAUCCCUCUCUUUCUCCAUCCCUCUGCUACACCUUGCCCGUCUUCCCUCCACACCCACCUGCCGUGGUCAUUUCCUUUCUCUGUCCUUGUUUCCCUCUUUAUCUCGGUAUCCCUCUGUCCUUCCUGUGUGUUUACCAUUCUUUUUCUCUGUCCUUUGCCGUGCCUCAUUCAUGUUCCUUUUUAUUCUCUGUUGCUCUGUCCUGCUCCCUGUGCCAUUGUUUCUCACUGGAUCCUCCUGUCCCGUUUCCUGUCCCUAUUCUUUUUUAAUCCCUCUCUGUCGUGCUGCCCAUGCCCGAUGUUUUUUUCUCAAUUCCAUCCUGCACCCUGUUCUUCCUUUUCUUCCUGUGUCCCCUCUGCUCCCACUCCCUCUUUCUGCCUCUCCUCGUCUUUCCCUGGUGCUCCCACCCCACCGCUCGAUGGGUCCGUGAGCGCAGAUUGGGAUCCCGGUGCUCCAGCCUCCCAGGGGCAGCAGCAGCGCCGUAGGGAAGGGAUGAGACAACUCCUGCCACUGCCCCGAGCGCAGGAACGGAGCGGAGCCUGAGCGGGAGCCGCGGCACCAUCGUGGGACACGCAGCCAGCAGCCCGCGACACCGGAGCUGGGGAGGAACUUUAGCCCUUCUGGGGGCUGUCCCCCUUUAUUGUGCCAGCAGAGCCCCUUUUGGGGGGGGAUGUACACAUGUAAAUGGCUUUAUUAAAGCGACGCGCUGCUGUCCAGGGCA